Molecule: non-coding RNA, 81 nt
Organism: Mycena leptocephala
Lineage: Eukaryota; Fungi; Basidiomycota; Agaricomycetes; Agaricales; Mycenaceae
Source: the annotation of a GenBank genome assembly
GCCUCCGUGGAUGAGCGGUAAAUUGCCUCAGCUUAAAGAUGUUGUACUGAGGAGCCGUGGGUUUGAAUCCCACUGGAGACA